Molecule: ribosomal RNA, 488 nt
Rfam family: Bacterial small subunit ribosomal RNA
UAGAGUUUGAUUCCCUGGCUCAGAUUGAACGCUGGCGGCAGGCCUAACACAUGCAAGUCGAGCGGUAACAGAUCUAGCUUGCUAGAUGCUGACGAGCGGCGGACGGGUGAGUAAUGCAUAGGAAUCUACCCGGUAGUGGGGGAUAACCUGGGGAAACCCAGGCUAAUACCGCAUACGUCCUACGGGAGAAAGGGGGCUUCGGCUCCCGCUAUCGGAUGAGCCUAUGUCGGAUUAGCUAGUUGGUGAGGUAAUGGCUCACCAAGGCAACGAUCCGUAGCUGGUCUGAGAGGAUGAUCAGCCACAUCGGGACUGAGACACGGCCCGAACUCCUACGGGAGGCAGCAGUGGGGAAUAUUGGACAAUGGGGGCAACCCUGAUCCAGCCAUGCCGCGUGUGUGAAGAAGGCCCUCGGGUUGUAAAGCACUUUCAGCGAGGAAGAACGCCUAGUGGUUAAUACCCAUUAGGAAAGACAUCACUCGCAGAAGAGC